This 52-nucleotide ribosomal RNA is filed under the name Ancylothrix terrestris 11PC. Its description in RNAcentral is "partial 23S ribosomal RNA". The record is from RNAcentral. Lineage: Bacteria; Bacillati; Cyanobacteriota; Cyanophyceae; Oscillatoriales; Microcoleaceae.
GGUCAAAGUAAUAAGGGCUAACGGUGGAUACCUAGGGCACACAGAGGCGAAA